RNAcentral lists this ribosomal RNA (2900 nucleotides) under Salmonella enterica subsp. enterica serovar Enteritidis. Its description in RNAcentral is "bacterial LSU rRNA". It matches the Rfam family "Bacterial large subunit ribosomal RNA". The record is from RNAcentral. Lineage: Bacteria; Pseudomonadati; Pseudomonadota; Gammaproteobacteria; Enterobacterales; Enterobacteriaceae.
UAAGCGACUAAGCGUACACGGUGGAUGCCCUGGCAGUCAGAGGCGAUGAAGGGCGUGCUAAUCUGCGAUAAGCGCCGGUAAGGUGAUAUGAACCGUUAUAACCGGCGAUACCCGAAUGGGGAAACCCAGUGUGACUCGUCACACUAUCAUUAACUGAAUCCAUAGGUUAAUGAGGCGAACCGGGGGAACUGAAACAUCUAAGUACCCCGAGGAAAAGAAAUCAACCGAGAUUCCCCCAGUAGCGGCGAGCGAACGGGGAGGAGCCCAGAGCCUGAAUCAGCAUGUGUGUUAGUGGAAGCGUCUGGAAAGGCGCGCGAUACAGGGUGACAGCCCCGUACACAAAAGCGCAUGUGCUGUGAGCUCGAUGAGUAGGGCGGGACACGUGGUAUCCUGUCUGAAUAUGGGGGGACCAUCCUCCAAGGCUAAAUACUCCUGACUGACCGAUAGUGAACCAGUACCGUGAGGGAAAGGCGAAAAGAACCCCGGCGAGGGGAGUGAAAAAGAACCUGAAACCGUGUACGUACAAGCAGUGGGAGCACCCUUUGGGUGUGACUGCGUACCUUUUGUAUAAUGGGUCAGCGACUUAUAUUCUGUAGCAAGGUUAACCGAAUAGGGGAGCCGGAGGGAAACCGAGUCUUAACCGGGCGUUAAGUUGCAGGGUAUAGACCCGAAACCCGGUGAUCUAGCCAUGGGCAGGUUGAAGGUUGGGUAACACUAACUGGAGGACCGAACCGACUAAUGUUGAAAAAUUAGCGGAUGACCUGUGGCUGGGGGUGAAAGGCCAAUCAAACCGGGAGAUAGCUGGUUCUCCCCGAAAGCUAUUUAGGUAGCGCCUCGUGAAUUCAUCUCCGGGGGUAGAGCACUGUUUCGGCUAGGGGGCCAUCCCGGCUUACCAACCCGAUGCAAACUGCGAAUACCGGAGAAUGUUAUCACGGGAGACACACGGCGGGUGCUAACGUCCGUCGUGAAGAGGGAAACAACCCAGACCGCCAGCUAAGGUCCCAAAGUCAUGGUUAAGUGGGAAACGAUGUGGGAAGGCCCAGACAGCCAGGAUGUUGGCUUAGAAGCAGCCAUCAUUUAAAGAAAGCGUAAUAGCUCACUGGUCGAGUCGGCCUGCGCGGAAGAUGUAACGGGGCUAAACCAUGCACCGAAGCUGCGGCAGCGACACUGUGUGUUGUUGGGUAGGGGAGCGUUCUGUAAGCCUGUGAAGGUGGCCUGUGAGGGUUGCUGGAGGUAUCAGAAGUGCGAAUGCUGACAUAAGUAACGAUAAAGCGGGUGAAAAGCCCGCUCGCCGGAAGACCAAGGGUUCCUGUCCAACGUUAAUCGGGGCAGGGUGAGUCGACCCCUAAGGCGAGGCCGAAAGGCGUAGUCGAUGGGAAACGGGUUAAUAUUCCCGUACUUGGUGUUACUGCGAAGGGGGGACGGAGAAGGCUAUGUUGGCCGGGCGACGGUUGUCCCGGUUUAAGCGUGUAGGUGUGUGUUCCAGGUAAAUCCGGUUCACUUUAACACUGAGGCGUGACGACGAGGCACUACGGUGCUGAAGCAACAAAUGCCCUGCUUCCAGGAAAAGCCUCUAAGCAUCAGGUAACAUCAAAUCGUACCCCAAACCGACACAGGUGGUCAGGUAGAGAAUACCAAGGCGCUUGAGAGAACUCGGGUGAAGGAACUAGGCAAAAUGGUGCCGUAACUUCGGGAGAAGGCACGCUGACACGUAGGUGAAGUGAUUUACUCAUGGAGCUGAAGUCAGUCGAAGAUACCAGCUGGCUGCAACUGUUUAUUAAAAACACAGCACUGUGCAAACACGAAAGUGGACGUAUACGGUGUGACGCCUGCCCGGUGCCGGAAGGUUAAUUGAUGGGGUCAGCGCAAGCGAAGCUCCUGAUCGAAGCCCCGGUAAACGGCGGCCGUAACUAUAACGGUCCUAAGGUAGCGAAAUUCCUUGUCGGGUAAGUUCCGACCUGCACGAAUGGCGUAAUGAUGGCCAGGCUGUCUCCACCCGAGACUCAGUGAAAUUGAACUCGCUGUGAAGAUGCAGUGUACCCGCGGCAAGACGGAAAGACCCCGUGAACCUUUACUAUAGCUUGACACUGAACAUUGAGCCUUGAUGUGUAGGAUAGGUGGGAGGCUUUGAAGUGUGGACGCCAGUCUGCAUGGAGCCGACCUUGAAAUACCACCCUUUAAUGUUUGAUGUUCUAACGUGGACCCGUUACCCGGGUUGCGGACAGUGUCUGGUGGGUAGUUUGACUGGGGCGGUCUCCUCCUAAAGAGUAACGGAGGAGCACUAAGGUUGGCUAAUCCUGGUCGGACAUCAGGAGGUUAGUGCAAUGGCAUAAGCCAGCUUGACUGCGAGCGUGACGGCGCGAGCAGGUGCGAAAGCAGGUCAUAGUGAUCCGGUGGUUCUGAAUGGAAGGGCCAUCGCUCAACGGAUAAAAGGUACUCCGGGGAUAACAGGCUGAUACCGCCCAAGAGUUCAUAUCGACGGCGGUGUUUGGCACCUCGAUGUCGGCUCAUCACAUCCUGGGGCUGAAGUAGGUCCCAAGGGUAUGGCUGUUCGCCAUUUAAAGUGGUACGCGAGCUGGGUUUAGAACGUCGUGAGACAGUUCGGUCCCUAUCUGCCGUGGGCGCUGGAGAACUGAGGGGGGCUGCUCCUAGUACGAGAGGACCGGAGUGGACGCAUCACUGGUGUUCGGGUUGUCAUGCCAAUGGCACUGCCCGGUAGCUAAAUGCGGAAGAGAUAAGUGCUGAAAGCAUCUAAGCACGAAACUUGCCCCGAGAUGAGUUCUCCCUGAGACUUUAGGUCUCCUGAAGGAACGUUGAAGACGACGACGUUGAUAGGCCGGGUGUGUAAGCGCAGCGAUGCGUUGAGCUAACCGGUACUAAUGAACCGUGAGGCUUAACCU